RNAcentral lists this ribosomal RNA (546 nucleotides) under uncultured Glomus. Its description in RNAcentral is "SSU rRNA". It matches the Rfam family "Eukaryotic small subunit ribosomal RNA", at positions 548 to 1098 of the family's 1831-position model. Lineage: Eukaryota; Fungi; Glomeromycota; Glomeromycetes; Glomerales; Glomeraceae. The record is from RNAcentral.
UUGGAGGGCAAGUCUGGUGCCAGCAGCCGCGGUAAUUCCAGCUCCAAUAGCGUAUAUUAAAGUUGUUGCAGUUAAAAAGCUCGUAGUUGAAUUUCGGGAUUAGUACGUCGGUCGUGCCUUAGGUACGUACUGGUGUUACUGGUUCCUACCUUCUGACGAACCAUCAUGUCAUUAAUUUGGUGUGGUGGGGAAUCAGGACUGUUACUUUGAAAAAAUUAGAGUGUCUAAAGCAGGCUCGCGCUUGAAUACAUUAGCAUGGAAUAAUGAAAUAGGACGUUGAUCCUAUUUUGUUGGUUUCUAGGAUUGACGUAAUGAUUAAUAGGGAUAGUUGGGGGCAUUAGUAUUCAAUUGUCAGAGGUGAAAUUCUUGGAUUUAUUGAAGACUAACUACUGCGAAAGCAUUUGCCAAGGAUGUUUUCAUUAAUCAAGAACGAAAGUUAGGGGAUCGAAGACGAUCAGAUACCGUCGUAGUCUUAACCAUAAACUAUGCCGACUAGGGAUCGGAUGAUGUUAUUUUUAAUGACUCAUUCGGCACCUUACGGGAAAC